GAUGAGCCCGCGUUGGAUUAGCUAGUUGGUGGGGUAAAGGCCUACCAAGGCGACGAUCCAUAGCUGGUCUGAGAGGAUGAUCAGCCACAUUGGGACUGAGACACGGCCCAAACUCCUACGGGAGGCAGCAGUGGGGAAUAUUGGACAAUGGGCGCAAGCCUGAUCCAGCCAUGCCGCGUGAGUGAUGAAGGUCUUAGGAUUGUAAAGCUCUUUCACCGGGGACGAUAAUGACGGUACCCGGAGAAGAAGCCCCGGCUAACUUCGUGCCAGCAGCCGCGGUAAUACGAAGGGGGCUAGCGUUGUUCGGAAUUACUGGGCGUAAAGCGCACGUAGGCGGAUAUUUAAGUCAGGGGUGAAAUCCCGGGGCUCAACCCCGGAACUGCCUUUGAUACUGGGUAUCUUGAGUGUGGUAGAGGUGAGUGGAAUUGCGAGUGUAGAGGUGAAAUUCGUAGAUAUUCGCAGGAACACCAGUGGCGAAGGCGGCUCACUGGACCACAACUGACGCUGAGGUGCGAAAGCGUGGGGAGCAAACAGGAUUAGAUACCCUG
Molecule: ribosomal RNA, 548 nt
Filed under: uncultured bacterium
Lineage: Bacteria
Description: bacterial SSU rRNA
Rfam family: Bacterial small subunit ribosomal RNA
Source: RNAcentral